This 253-nucleotide ribosomal RNA is filed under the name uncultured bacterium. Its description in RNAcentral is "partial 16S ribosomal RNA". It matches the Rfam family "Bacterial small subunit ribosomal RNA", at positions 524 to 776 of the family's 1533-position model. The record is from RNAcentral.
UACAGGGGGGGCAAGCGUUGUUCGGAAUUACUGGGCGUAAAGGGCUCGUAGGCGGCCAACUAAGUCCGACGUGAAAUCCCAAGGCUUAACCUUGGAACUGCGUCGGAUACUGGAUGGCUUGAAUUCGGGAGAGGGAUGCAGAAUUCCAGGUGUAGCGGUGAAAUGCGUAGAUAUCUGGAGGAAUACCGGUGGCGAAGGCGGCAUCCUGGACCGACAUUGACGCUGAGGCGCGAAAGCUAGGGGAGCAAACGGG